RNAcentral lists this ribosomal RNA (253 nucleotides) under uncultured bacterium. RNAcentral's name for it is "partial 16S ribosomal RNA". It matches the Rfam family "Bacterial small subunit ribosomal RNA", at positions 524 to 776 of the family's 1533-position model. The record is from RNAcentral.
UACAGAGGGUGCAAGCGUUGUUCGGAAUUACUGGGCGUAAAGCGCGUGUAGGCGGCGUCGUUAGUCGAAUGUGAAAGCCCUCGGCUCAACCGAGGAAGUGCAUCCGAUACUGCGACGCUUGAGUGUUGGAGGGGGUGGCGGAAUUCCCGGUGUAGAGGUGAAAUUCGUAGAUAUCGGGAGGAACACCUGUGGCGAAGGCGGCCACCUGGACAACAACUGACGCUGAGACGCGAAAGCGUGGGUAGCAAACCGG